Molecule: long non-coding RNA, 882 nt
Filed under: Homo sapiens (human)
Lineage: Eukaryota; Metazoa; Chordata; Mammalia; Primates; Hominidae
Description: non-protein coding lnc-CROCC-6:2
Source: RNAcentral
UCUGGCAAUGUCUGUCAACAGGUGUUGGCCUGAAAUUUGGCCGGGCACGUUGGCUCAUGCCUGUAAUCCCAGCACUGUGUGAGGCCGAGGCGGAUGGAUCGCUUGAGGUCAAGAGUUAAAUUGCCAUCAUCUGAGAAAGGCCUGUUAGAGCCCCUGUCCAGGUGAUUCCCACCCUGUGUCCUCUUAGUUAUCACUAUUCUGAUGUCUAUUCCCACAGGUUACAAUUGCCUGUUCUUAAAGUUCACAUGAGUGAAUGUACAUAUGUUUUGUGUCUGGCCUUUUUCUCCAGUUACAUUCAUUAUACUCAUGAGAUAUAUCCACGUAGUUUCAUAGAUCACUUCUCAAUUUUGGGGUUAUUGAUUUCUUGUGCUGAAUAUUCUUAUAACAGUCUUUGUGUGCACUUGAGAUUCAUGGAAGUCCUUCAAUUGCUGGGUCAUGACCUGAGUAUAAGUUUAACAUCAGUAUAAAUUGCCAGUCUUCUAGAAUGCUUUUUCGCCAGCGAUGACAGUUGAAGUGGCACCAAAUUCUUGUCAGCAUUUGGUGUACUAACUUUGUUAAAUGUAGCUAUGCUCUCAGACCAGGCUGGCCAACAUGGCAAAACCCUGUCUCUACUCAAAAUACAAAAAUUAGCUGGGCAUGGUGGCAUCGGGCUCUUUUUUGGUUCCAUAUGAACUUUAAAGUAGUUUUUUCCAAUUCUGUGAAGAAAGUCAUUGGUAGCUUGAUGGGGAUGGCAUGGAAUCUAUAAAUUACCUUGGGCAGUAUGACCAUUUUCCCGAUAGUGAUUCUUCCUACCCAUGAGCGUGGAAUGUUCUUCCAUUUGUUUGUAUCCUGUUUUAUUUUGUUGAGCAGUGUUUUGUAGUUCUCCUUGAAGAGGUCCUUCAC